Molecule: transfer RNA, 68 nt
Filed under: Thermomonospora echinospora
Lineage: Bacteria; Bacillati; Actinomycetota; Actinomycetes; Streptosporangiales; Thermomonosporaceae
Description: Actinomadura echinospora tRNA_Ser_CGA
Rfam family: tRNA
About the family: Transfer RNA (tRNA) molecules are approximately 80 nucleotides in length.
Source: RNAcentral
GGGCCUGGUGGUUCACGGUCGGACUUCUAAUCCGACGGUCGCAGGUUCGAAUCCUGCCGGGCGCGCCU